CCAAGGAGUCUAACAUGUGCGCGAGUCGUGGGGCUCUACGAACCUCCUAGGCGCAAUGAAAGUGAAGGUCGCUUGCGGCCGAGGUGGGAUCCCGUCCCCCGGGGCGGGCGCACCACCGGCCCGUCUCGUCGGCGCUGUCCGAGAGGCGGAGCGAGAGCGUACACGUUGGGACCCGAAAGAUGGUGAACUAUGCCUGAGUAGGGUGAAGCCAGAGGAAACUCUGGUGGAAGUCCGUAGCGAUUCUGACGUGCAAAUCGAUCGUCGAACUUGGGUAUAGGGGCGAAAGACUAAUCGAACCAUCUA
Molecule: ribosomal RNA, 303 nt
Filed under: Apionsoma misakianum
Lineage: Eukaryota; Metazoa; Annelida; Sipuncula; Phascolosomatiformes; Phascolosomatidae
Also listed under: 1 other name
Description: eukaryotic LSU rRNA
Rfam family: Eukaryotic large subunit ribosomal RNA
Source: RNAcentral